This 476-nucleotide ribosomal RNA is filed under the name uncultured bacterium. Its description in RNAcentral is "bacterial SSU rRNA". It matches the Rfam family "Bacterial small subunit ribosomal RNA", at positions 328 to 793 of the family's 1533-position model. The record is from RNAcentral.
CUCUGUGACUCCUACGGGGAGGCAGCAGUGGGGAAUAUUGCACAAUGGGGGAAACCCUGAUGCAGCCAUGCCGCGUGUGUGAAGAAGGCCUUCGGGUUGUAAAGCACUUUCAGUAGGGAGGAAGGUAGUGUAGUUAACACCUGCACUAUUUGACGUUACCUACAGAAGAAGCACCGGCUAACUCCGUGCCAGCAGCCGCGGUAAUACGGAGGGUGCGAGCGUUAAUCGGAAUUACUGGGCGUAAAGCGCAUGCAGGCGGCCUGUUAAGUCAGAUGUGAAAGCCCGGGGCUUAACCUCGGAAUUGCAUUUGAAACUGGCAGGCUAGAGUCUUGUAGAGGGGGGUAGGAAUUUCAGGUGUAGCGGUGAAAUGCGUAGAGAUCUGAAGGAAUACCAGUGGCGAAGGCGGCCCCCCUGGACAAAGACUGACGCUCAGAUGCGAAAGCGUGGGGAGCAAACAGGAUUAGAUACCCUGGUAG